RNAcentral lists this ribosomal RNA (567 nucleotides) under uncultured archaeon. RNAcentral's name for it is "bacterial SSU rRNA". It matches the Rfam family "Archaeal small subunit ribosomal RNA", at positions 326 to 897 of the family's 1478-position model. The record is from RNAcentral.
CGGGGUGCAGCAGGCGCGAAAACUUUACAAUGCGGGAAACCGUGAUAAGGGGACACCGAGUGCCAGCAUCAUAUGCUGGCUGUCCGGGUGUGUAAAAUACACCUGUUAGCAAGGGCCGGGCAAGACCGGUGCCAGCCGCCGCGGUAACACCGGCGGCCCGAGUGGUGAUCGUGAUUAUUGGGUCUAAAGGGUCCGUAGCCGGUUUGGUCAGUCCUCCGGGAAAUCUGAUAGCUCAACUAUUAGGCUUUCGGAGGAUACUGCCAGACUUGGAACCGGGAGAGGUAAGAGGUACUACAGGGGUAGGAGUGAAAUCUUGUAAUCCCUGUGGGACCACCUGUGGCGAAGGCGUCUUACCAGAACGGGUUCGACGGUGAGGGACGAAAGCUGGGGGCACGAACCGGAUUAGAUACCCGGGUAGUCCCAGCCGUAAACGAUGCUCGCUAGGUGUCAGGCAUGGUGCGACCGUGUCUGGUGCCGCAGGGAAGCCGUGAAGCGAGCCACCUGGGAAGUACGGCCGCAAGGCUGAAACUUAAAGGAAUUGGCGGGGGAGCACAAGGGCGAUUCGCG